This 1193-nucleotide long non-coding RNA is filed under the name Bos taurus (domestic cattle). Its description in RNAcentral is "long non-coding RNA NONBTAT024414". The record is from RNAcentral. Lineage: Eukaryota; Metazoa; Chordata; Mammalia; Artiodactyla; Bovidae.
GGAAAACAAUGGAGAGAAGGUGUAUUUGCACAGACUGGAGGACACUCCUGCAUAAACUAGUCAGCGAAAAGGUAGCAUCCUAGUGACAUCUACUGGGUUUGAGUAUCAUCAGUGGAUCAUAUGAUCACUGGGCAUUUCAGGUUUCUCUAGAAGAGAGGAAAGGGAAACCUAAGACAAAUGCCCUGGCAUUUCUUUUUUUAAGGGAACAAGGUUAUAUAACACUAGCAAUUAUUAAGAAAUGUUUUCCCUUCCCUUAAGCUCAGGGACACUAUUGGUUAGAGAGUUGAGUAACCCAACCUCUUAAUAAUUAUUCCCUUUUUCAAAGCUGGGUAUAUAAUAUUACAAGCUGAAUUACUCUAUGUCAGGUCAUAUAAGUAAAGAUGGGGUUUCUGAAUGAAAACAUGCUUUGAAAAUUUUGAUUCAUUGCAGUGCAGAGUUCUGGUGGCUUCAAGAGUGCUGGAGUGUAUAGUUUAAGUAUGGCCUGAGCACAUGUGAUCAGUUUCAGAAGCCUGAAGAAAGGGUCCCUGGGAGCCACACUGUACAACAUGUUUGGGGGAUCAGUCAUCCCUCUUUCACACUUAUCAAGGGUCACCCUACCUCAGAACAAGCACAAACUGUUCACCCAAGGAGGACUUGAAGGGCUGGGUACCUUCCCCCCCCUCUCCCCUCAUCUCCUUUCCUCAUUAAAAAGCAUUCCAAUCUAUCAGCAACAAGCCUCCUGGGGCUUGAAAUUUUCACCUUAUCUUUACCAUUAGCCCUUGCAUUAGCUGGCUUCCUUUCAAAUCAGUGCUCCUGUAUUCUUAGGUUAUACUCUGGGGAUAUGUUGCCCAAAGGUAGGGGGAUGGAAAGCCAAGGAUUUGGUUUGCCAAGGAUAGUGCAUGAUUUUUGUGAGAUGCAUUAUGACUGAUUUACAGACCUUUUAAUUUGGUCUUGGGGGUGGUGGGAGGUGGGAAAUCUGGGUGAUUUCUUGAUUGGCAAUGAGGAUAAAUUGUUAAUGCUUUUUCAGAGCUUAACUGCCUUAUCCUGUUCUGCAAAUCGGUAAGAGAUCUGUUGGUACUCACUUCAGAGACAUGUUCAACUAUGGAAAGAGGCAAUUUUCCUAUCCAAGGCCACACUAGAAAGCAUUAAUUCAUUGGUCAAAUAUUUGUUACCUGGAAUGGAACUUGAAAAAAUACAUUUUGAUUUUUCUUUUC